AGAGUUUGAUCCUGGCUCAGGACGAACGCUGGCGGCGUGCUUAACACAUGCAAGUCGAGCGGAAAGGCCCUUCGGGGUACUCGAGCGGCGAACGGGUGAGUAACACGUGAGCAACCUGCCCUUGGCUUUGGGAUAACCCUCGGAAACGGGGGCUAAUACCGAAUAUCCAUCUUUCAUCGCAUGGUGGUUGGUGGAAAGUUUUUCGGCCAGGGGUGGGCUCGCGGCCUAUCAGCUUGUUGGUGGGGUGAUGGCCUACCAAGGCGACGACGGGUAGCCGGCCUGAGAGGGCGACCGGCCACACUGGGACUGAGACACGGCCCAGACUCCUACGGGAGGCAGCAGUGGGGAAUAUUGCACAAUGGGCGGAAGCCCGAUGCAGCGACGCCGCGUGAGGGAUGACGGCCUUCGGGUUGUAAACCUCUUUCAGCAGGGACGAAGCGAAAGUGACGGUACCUGCAGAAGAAGCGCCGGCCAACUACGUGCCAGCAGCCGCGGUAAGACGUAGGGCGCGAGCGUUGUCCGGAUUUAUUGGGCGUAAAGAGCUCGUAGGCGGCUUGUCGCGUCGACUGUGAAAACCCGUGGCUCAACCAUGUGGUCUGCAGUCGAUACGGGCAGGCUAGAAUUCGGUAGGGGAGACUGGAAUUCCUGGUGUAGCGGUGAAAUGCGCAGAUAUCAGGAGGAACACCGGUGGCGAAGGCGGGUCUCUGGGCCGAUAUUGACGCUGAGGAGCGAAAGCGUGGGGAGCGAACAGGAUUAGAUACCCUGGUAGUCCACGCUGUAAACGUUGGGCGCUAGGUGUGGGGGGCCUCUCCGGUUCUCUGUGCCGCAGCUAACGCAUUAAGCGCCCCGCCUGGGGAGUACGGCCGCAAGGCUAAAACUCAAAGGAAUUGACGG
RNAcentral lists this ribosomal RNA (894 nucleotides) under uncultured bacterium. Its description in RNAcentral is "bacterial SSU rRNA". It matches the Rfam family "Bacterial small subunit ribosomal RNA", at positions 8 to 916 of the family's 1533-position model. The record is from RNAcentral.